RNAcentral lists this ribosomal RNA (447 nucleotides) under uncultured bacterium. Its description in RNAcentral is "partial 16S ribosomal RNA". It matches the Rfam family "Bacterial small subunit ribosomal RNA", at positions 29 to 523 of the family's 1533-position model. The record is from RNAcentral.
AAUGAACGCUGGCGGCAGGCCUAACACAUGCAAGUCGAACGCCCCGCAAGGGGAGUGGCGCACGGGUGAGUAACGCGUGGGAAUAUGCCCUUCGGUUCGGAGUAACACAGGGAAACUUGUGCUAAUACCGGAUAAGAUCUACGGAUGAAAGAUUCAUCGCCGAAGGAGUAGCCCGCGUAGGAUUAGCUUGUUGGUGAGGUAACGGCUCACCAAGGCGACGAUCCUUAGCUGGUCUGAGAGGAUGAUCAGCCACACUGGGACUGAGACACGGCCCAGACUCCUACGGGAUGCAGCAGUGGGGAAUAUUGGACAAUGGGCGAAAGCCUGAUCCAGCCAUGCCGCGUGAGUGAUGAAGGCCUUAGGGUUGUAAAGCUCUUUCGCCAGGGAAGAUAAUGACGGUACCUGGAAAAGAAGCCUCGGCUAACUCCGUGCCAGCCGCCGCUGUAA